This is a non-coding RNA of Pelobates cultripes (western spadefoot toad), 1356 nucleotides long. The record is from the annotation of a GenBank genome assembly. Lineage: Eukaryota; Metazoa; Chordata; Amphibia; Anura; Pelobatidae.
CAAUAGUCUUCAAAAGAAAUGUAGUCAAUCAUUUUACUUCUACAGUGACAUGGUAGAGGCAGACUAAUGACCGUCGUAACUUCACAAUUAAAAACAACAAAUAUGGAUCAGCACACACACACACACACACAAAUAUUUAAACUAUUUCAAAUCCGGUCCUGAUUCCAAAAAGAGUAACUCAAUAGCUUGCCCUUUGAGAUUUCAUGUUUACAUCUCAAAAUGUUUUUUUUUCUCACUUGUGCCAUUACAGACUGAACCCACACAUAAGGGCAGUCCAGAACCGAAAUGCCGGCAAGUUCUUUCUGCACGAGAAAAAGCUACUCUGGACGAUUGCUUAAUUUGGUUCUGGGCUGCCCCUAUGGGUGGGAUCAGUCUUAUACGCAAAUUGUAUGGGUUCUCUUUGUAGUGGCACAUGUGAUCAAAAACUAUUUUAAAACCUGAGCGGAGAGUAACUGAAGGGCAAGCUGACUUUCUCUAAGUUUUUGCCCCUUCUCAGAGUUUUCAUAUUAUCUGUUUUGUAUCAGCUUGUAUUGUCUCAUACAAUAGGUUUCAUACAACAUUUUACUGUUAUCACGCCACGCAUCCCACCAUUUUAGGAAAAUACAGAUGCUGAUUUGAUUAAUUUAAAAACUAAAUUCAAAAAAUAUAUAGUGGUACCUUGGUUUAUUGCGAAAAAUUCGUAAACCGAAACGUGGUUUCCCAUAGGAAUGCACAUUGAAAACCAAUUCAUACGUUUCGGAGGUCAGAAAAAAGUAAAAAUGAGCUGGCAUGGAAACCAACCCACAAUGUAGCUCCCUACCUUUCCACCGCUUUAGAAAUUCACCAAAAAAGUUCCAAAAAGGCCCAAAACCGCUGCAAACAAUUUCCAGAAUGGCUCCAAAACUCGAUGCAAAAAACACUCCAACACCUCCACACUCGAUGCCACGUGCUACCCACAGACUUCAGCAUGCACGGGGGCGGCGCUAUAAACCUCCCAUGUGCAAUGCAUCCUUGCUUCGUAUUGCGAAAAUCAUUAGUAAACCGAGGCAUUAUUUUCAAUGGAUUUUCAUUUGUAAACCGAAAAUUAUGUUAACCGAGGCGUUUGUAAACCGAGGUACAACUGUAUAUAUUUUUAAAACUGUUAAAAUUAGUUCCUUUCCUUAAAAUGUUAUGGAUUUUAAAAUGAUAUAUUCAUAGUCUAACCAUUAGACAAUAUAUGUGAAUGGACUAACCAAAAAGGCAUAUGCAUUACACAGAUUGCAACAGUUCUGUGUGUAUAAAGAGUAUUUUGGGGGCAAAGUUCUAAAAGUGGAGUAAUCGCCAUGGUAACCGAUGUAAUGUCCCUGCUGACUGCUCCACCUUUAGCAUUUUCUUCAC